This is a long non-coding RNA of Oreochromis aureus, 1104 nucleotides long. Lineage: Eukaryota; Metazoa; Chordata; Actinopteri; Cichliformes; Cichlidae. The record is from Ensembl.
GAGGAAUCUAAUGCUAAAUCUGACCCGGAUGAGUCCACCUCUGAUAGCAAUUUGAAAGAAUCUGAUGUUGUCAAUUCACAGCCCAGGACAAAAACUGGUCGGUGCAAGAAACAAAUGGCCCAAAAACCUCAGGUCAUUAUCAAAUUUUCUUGCUUUAACAAUUGGAGCGUUCACAUUUUUCCAGUGGAAAAGUACCAAAAAAGCAAAAUAUGCAAAAAACGAAAACAGUGCAAUGCACUUCUGACAGAUUCCUCAGACAGCGAUUUCCUCCCUGCUAAAACUUGUGGCUGCAAGCAACGAAAGAAGAAAAAACGUAAGGCCACUCUUAUGUUUUACCGCUUUAACAAUUGUCACCCGUUUUCCAGAGGAAAAAAACAAAAAACAAAAACUGACACCUCACAGACUAUAUAUGGAAUGAGAAAGGAACAAAUCUACAGAUUUUUAGUGAAAAUCUGUAUUAUGGAACUUGUUAUCCAUGUUGUAAAAAACAAACAAACAAAAAAAAAAAAACAGGCUGUGUCAUCAGUCUGGAAAAAAUUUCAGCUAUCACCAACUGGCUGUCUACCAAAGUCUGGCCUAAAAUCAGGCAUGUAUAUCAUAAAAUCCCCUUGAAGAAGUUUGAAAACUUACACAAGGCGAUUUUCAAAUUCCUAUGUCAAAGGUGCAAAAAUACAAAAACAAUUCUGCUAUUAAUGGUGUCAAAUCAGGAUGUCAUCAACAAAGAAAUUGUAAACUUUUUCAUAAAAAAGGCAUGCAAAAAAUCCAAAGUACAUCGAUUUUUCGCAUUCGUUGGCCAAAUGUUUGGUUUCACCAGCAGACCAAAUGUGGUUUCCCCAAUGGAUUCUCCACUUAGCCAAAGCCUGAGUGAGUCUGAUGAUGAUUCUGACCUGGACCAGUCUCGUACUGUUAGCCUUGUAGAUGAAUCUGAUUCUGUCAAUUCACAGGAAAAGCCACAAAAAAAUAACAAAACUAAAAAAAGAUCAAUCUCCAGAAAAUCAAAGAUUGGAAAAUACUUUUGAACAAAUGCUACACAAAUUGGAAAAAGAAACACUGCCAAUGUGAAGAACGUAUAUAUUAAUGUUGCCUUUCUUAAUGAUGUGCAAG